Molecule: ribosomal RNA, 259 nt
Filed under: uncultured bacterium
Lineage: Bacteria
Description: partial 16S ribosomal RNA
Rfam family: Bacterial small subunit ribosomal RNA
Source: RNAcentral
CGGAAGUUACUGGGCGUAAAGCGCAUGCAGGCGGCCUGUUAAGUCAGAUGUGAAAGACCCGGGGCGUUAACCUCGGAAAUUGCAUUUGUAAACUAGGCAGGCUAGAGUCGUUGUAGAGGGGGUAGGAAGUUUCAGGUGUAGCGGUGAAAUGCGUAGAGAUCUGAAGGAAUACCAGUGGCGAAGGCGGCCCCCUCGGACAAAGACUGACGCUCAGAUGCGAAAGCGUGGGGAGCAAAACAGGAUUAGAUACCCCUGGUAG